AAGAAGUAGCUCCGUCAACACAGCUCUAGGCGCACGCAAUCAGCUCAGGAAGAGUACAAUUCUAACUAGCGAAGAGAGGCGAUCAGCUCAAUUGAAAGAGAGGGCGGUGGGCAUACAAUUCUUCGAUUUCAUUUCUUGCCUUUUCAAUCUAGUUUCUUGGCAUAAGGACUAUUUAGACUCAUAUAGAAUGAAAGAGUCCGCAUCAAAAAAACCAUCCUAAGAAAAGAUUUUAGCAAUCCCUUCCAGGCCAGAGGUCUUCUUUUCGUCCUGCUAGCUCAAAUCUCGUACUAUAUAGUAAGUACUAUAUAUACCUGAUAUACCUGAUCGAUAAAAAGGGAUCUCUUUUUAGGCUAGUUAGGCUAGGGAGUGAAUUCCACUUUAGACAAGUCUAGCAAAGCAGCUCAUCUGGUAACACGGUCAUCCGUCCAACCUCUAUCAAUCGGUCUUUCCUCUUUCAAUCGCUUGAAUUGAUAUAAAAAAAACCAACCGGGAAUCUUGAAUCUCUAACGAUCGCAUCUGUCUGACUGAUGGGAGAGUCAAAAUGGCCGCUUUUCCUUAAGCUUCAUGCCUCUGAAAUAGAUCGAAUAAGGUCACAAGGUACUAGGCUUAAUUAACAUGCCAUAAAAUGCUUAAAGAGAGAGGAUAAGGACGGAAUUCCACUAUCGUUAUUAAAGUAGUAAGGAAAUAAGUAGAAUAUGCGCAAGAAAUACUAGAGGUCAUAAACCGGCAGAUAGGGGCAGAGGUCAGCAUUCCUGCAGUUAAGGAGGACGAAUAGUCGUCACUUUUCUGAUACUUUUUUCUGAGAGAUAGGCGAGGCGGGAGUCAGCCUGGAAGAAAUUUCGUUCAUUUUUCAUUUCUCUUGUAUAGUCUUUAUGACGCUCAUCUGGAAUCUUUCUUGUUGCAGUUGCAGUACGAUUGAAGUAUGAGUUUAGCAAUUUCAGUCUUUCAGUAGUGAAACACGAUUUCAGUAUUCAAUCUAUCCCCUUCGUUCUAGAGUUCAGGACUUAUUUUCUAUGGUCUCUUUUCCUUAAACUUAAGCCCUCUUUAAGCGGAAUUUUCUUGGUCUUUUUUCUCGAUAAGCUGUCGCAAUCAGACAAUUCGUUAAAAGAGAUAUCUAAUCGAUCUUUCUUUCAAUAUUUCCUAUCUUCCUGCUUGGGAAGGAAUCAGUAUCUCUUGCAAUCGCUCAUUUGUUCUGUUCUGUCGCAACUCUCGCAUCCCUACGCUACAGACUCCGGGCUUUCCUUGAGGACACUGAAUAGGUAAUACCAAGGUGAAACACUAGGAAAAAAGCUUCGCUUGGUUCUUUCGCUUUUCUUUCCUUUUGAGCUUACUCGAAAGCUUCAUCGGACUGUGUCCAUUCCUUAGUCUAGCUACAGACUUGCGUACCUCGAUCGAGCGAGACUCUCGAAAGCUUCCGAAGAGCAUUGAAUUGACCCCNN
Molecule: long non-coding RNA, 1439 nt
Filed under: Amborella trichopoda
Lineage: Eukaryota; Viridiplantae; Streptophyta; Magnoliopsida; Amborellales; Amborellaceae
Description: long non-coding RNA (ATRI_LNC003723)
Source: RNAcentral